GCUUAACACAUGCAAGUCGAGCGGUAUGUGCUUUAGUGCAUACAGCGGCAGACGGGUGAGUAACACGUAUCUAACCUUCCCCUUACUUGGGCAUAGCCCUCUGGAAACGGAGAUUAAUUUCCGAUGUGGUGUACAUUUCGCAUGUUUUGCGCACCAAAUAUUUAUCGGUAAGGGAUGGGGAUGCCCUCCAUUAGGUUGUAGGUAGGGUAAUGGCCUACCUAGCCUAUGAUGGAUAGGGGUUCUGAGAGGAAGGUCCCCCACAUUGGAACUGCGACACGGUCCAAACUCCUACGGGAGGCAGCAGUGAGGAAUAUUGGUCAAUGGCCGGAAGGCUGAACCAGCCAAGUAGCGUGCAGGAUGACUGCCUUAUGGGUUGUAAACUGCUUUUUUACGGGAAUAAUUAUGAUCACGUGUGAUUAUUUGCAUGUACCGUAAGAAUAAGGAUCGGCUAACUCCGUGCCAGCAGCCGCGGUAAUACGGAGGAUCCUAGUGUUAUCCGGAUUUAUUGGGUUUAAAGGGAGCGUAGGCGGGAGGUCAAGUCAGCUGUGAAAUGUAUCUGCUUAACGGGUACACUGCAGUUGAAACUGGUUUUCUUGAGUGCGUAAGAGGCAGGCGGAAUUCGUUGUGUAGCGGUGAAAUGCUUAGAUAUGACGAGGAACUCCUAUUGCGAAGGCAGCUUGCUGGGUCGUUACUGACGCUGAUGCUCGAAGGUGCGGGGAGCAAACAGGAUUAGAUACCCUGGUAGUCCACGCCGUAAACGAUGAUAACUGGGUUUUUAAUGAAGAUCAUUAAGAGCCUGAGUGAAAGCAUUAAGUUAUCCACCUGGGGAGUACGUUCGCAAGUAUGAAACUCAAAGGAAUUGACGGGGGCCCGCACAAGCGGAGGAACAUGUGGUUUAAUUCGAUGAUACGCGAGGAACCUUACCCGGGCUUAAAUGUAGAUUGCAUAAUUUAGAGAUAAAUUUUUCCCUCAAAAGACUAUCUACAAGGUGCUGCAUGGUUGUCGUCAGCUCGUGCCGUGAGGUGUCGGGUUAAGUCCCAUAACGAGCGCAACCCCUGCUACCAGUUACCAGCAUGUAAUGAUGGGGACUCUGGUAGGACCGCCGCCGUAAGGCGAGAGGAAGGUGGGGAUGACGUCAAAUCAGCACGGCCCUUACGUCCGGGGCGACACACGUGUUACAAUGGCCGGCACAGAGGGCUGCUACACAGCGAUGUGAUGCUAAUCUCAAAAACCGGUCGUAGUUCGGAUUGGAGUCUGAAACUCGACUCCAUGAAGCUGGAUUCGCUAGUAAUCGCAUAUCAGCCAUGAUGCGGUGAAUACGUUCCCGGGCCUUGUACACACCGCCCGUCA
Molecule: ribosomal RNA, 1350 nt
Filed under: uncultured bacterium
Lineage: Bacteria
Description: 16S ribosomal RNA
Rfam family: Bacterial small subunit ribosomal RNA
Source: RNAcentral